UCUGAGUUAGAGUACACUUUUUUAAGUGAUAUCCUCGUCAUUCAUCAUCUCUAGUGUCAUGAAAAACCAUAGUACCAAACUACUACUUGGGAGCCAAACUUAGGAUCUGACUUAAAACCAAAUUGGAACCAUUAUUGGGUUCUGUUCUGUUCUGUGCUUGUUGGGUUUCCUAACACUCUUUUGUGUGCCUAACACAUUUGGUUCUCACUUUUUCUCAGAUGGGGUUCUCUUGUUUGAGUGGUUUUUAGGUGGACUUUGUUGUUUACUACUAUGGAUUUCUAUGUGUGUGUGUGUGUGUCUUUCUCUUAUUGUUUGGAUAUGAGGGUCUUUUAAUAAUGAAGGUGUUUUUAUUGGUUUUCUUUUGGGAAAGGUUUAUGAUUUGGCCCAGUUGUUGAUUCUGCUUCUGGCUGGUGUUUUAAAAAGGCAAGAAUUAUUAUGGCGGGCGAGGUUGAGGAAUCAUUCAGCAUGAACUUUCAGGUAGAUUCUAUACAUUCCGGUUCUAUCUCAUUUGGGAGAUUUGAGAAUGAGACUUUAUCUUGGGAAAGAAGGUCCUCUUUCUCUCACAAUAGGUACUUGGAGGAGGUUGAGAAAUGUUCAAAACCAGGUUCAGUUAUUGAGAAGAAGGCAUAUUUUGAAGCUCAUUUCAAGAAGAAGGGCAUAUUUGGUUUUAUUCCAUCUACAGGUCAUGAGGGAUCAUCAGUUAGAGCAAUCAGUGAAAAUGAUGGCUCAGAGAGAAUUGGCAAGCAAGAGGAUUUUGAGUCCAAUGAUGGCCAUUAUGUUCAAUUUGAUGAAAUGUCCCAAAAGGAUUUUGAGCUAGAUGAAGGUGACCAUUAUAUUGAAAUGGACCAAAGUUCCCAAGAGGACUUUGUGACAAUUGAAGAUGAUCAUUAUGUUCAAUUUGGUGAAAUUCCUGCUAAUUCAAAUUAUCAUGGAGAAUGUGGUAUGGAUGAAUAUGAAAGAGAAGAGACCGUCACAGAAUCUCUGAUGGAUUCAUUUUCAGGUCUGCAGCAGAUGGAAUCUGCUGCAAACGAUUCUAAUGAUUUUGAGGAUCCUGGUAAGAUAAGUAUUACUUUGGAUAAAGCUCAUCAUCAAUCUGAAAAUGAAACAAGUAAUAUUCUCUUAGAUGAUGACAAGGUGAUUAUAGAAGUGAAAAAGAAUGAUGAUGUUACAGUAAAUACUGAUGAAUCGUCAACAAACAUGAUUAUGCCUGUGAAUGAACCUGCACAGGGUGUUGAGGAAACAAUUUCGCAUGAUCCUGCAAAUCCUUCUACUAAGGAAAGAAAGAUCAAGCCUCAACGGAAUUCUGAAGUCAACAAUGUUCAAGUUCGGAAAAGCACCCCUCCUAGAUCAGUUAAGGAUCCUGCUAGGAUUCCCAGAGGAGAGAGUCCAAGGAGAACAAAUAUGGAAAAGAAUUCAUCAAAACUUGCAACACCAACUACUUGUUUAGCUAGCAAAACUACCAAAGAGGUUUCUAAAAGUGCAGAGAAACUUGUUCGUGAAAGCAAAAGUGAAAAUGCAUCAAAAGUAAGAAAGGGUGCAGAAUCCCAACUUUCUGCUUCAAAAACAGCUUCGAGAGGAAUUCAAGAAGCAGAGAGGAUGAACCAAGCUUUCAAUUCUACAAAUUCCAAUGUUAAGCCUAGGGCUGCGGCUUUCAACUUCAAAUGUAGCGAGCGAGCGGAAAGACGGAAACAGUUCUACAUGAAGCUGGAAGAAAAAAUGUAUGCAAAGGAAGCAGAGAUUAAUCAAAUGCAAGCAAUGUCACAGGAAAAGACAGAAGCUGAUAUUAAAAAACUCCGGAAGAGUCUCAACUUUAAAGCAACACCAAUGCCUUCAUUUUACUGCACACCUUCACCGUCACAACCACAUGGGAAUAAGUUUCAACCUCAGGCUGUGUCAAAUAACACCAGAAGUAAGAAAGAACAUAAUAAACCAAAAUGUCCAGGGAGUGGAGCUGAUGCAGCAUUUCCUUCGAGAUCGAAGGUGGGAAAUGAUCUAGAAACCGAUGAAUCCGUAACAGCGAGAGAACCACAUGGUAUCUCAGUCAAAGAGUGUGCCAAAAAUAAAGCAUCCAAAGCUAGUUUGAUUUCUCCAGCUCCAUCAACCAACAAUAGCUGCCUUGCAGAUUCUACAACAAGUAGUCAUACUUCUGGAAAGAAAGAAGGAGCAAAGGUUUCUUUGCAAAAACAUAGGGUAACUGAUAGUUGUAAAGGAGCAAAACAGCAAAGCAAUGAAAGAAAUAAAAAUGGCGAAACCGCAAAACAUAGAAAUGAUAUAAUGCGGAAAGGUGUGGGGAAUGUUGGUUUGAGAAGCAGUUCUAAAAGUGGUAAUCUUGCUGUACGUGUUGCCUCCUGAAGAAUUUACCCACUUCCACUUUACAAAUUGAGGAGGCAUUUCAGGUUCCAGCAUAAAAUGCUGUGGAAUGAAUACCGCCACUACACAGAUAUUAAGGCAUAUUGCACAUUGAGGUAGUAGCAUUUCUUGUAUUUUUUUCAUGAUAUUCAUUUCAUGGUAUAGCUGAGGCAAGUUAUAGUACAACAUGAUCCAUGUUACUACUUCUAAGUUUGGUAGAAGUUUUGUAUGCAGCAAACAUAGGCAUAACUAGUAAUUGGCAUGUUUUUACUGGAGUUGUUGGAUCUUGUGGGCUCCCCUCCUUAAGGAAGUGUGUUCAUUUGCUCAUCAGAAAAGAAAAGAAAAGAAAUGGAAUUUAUGGAAAUUUUUAUAUGUAUAUAAGUAAUCUUAAAAUUUAUCAUGAUCUGCUGGAGUAGUAUUAUAGAUUUAUCUUCCUUCUAUAUCAUACCUUUAUAUCAUGAACUCACAAAUUUCAGUUGAUGCAAAUUUUGCGUUGAUUUGAA
Molecule: RNA transcript, 2852 nt
Organism: Glycine soja
Lineage: Eukaryota; Viridiplantae; Streptophyta; Magnoliopsida; Fabales; Fabaceae
Gene name: protein WVD2-like 7
Exons: 9
Source: RefSeq, a predicted model, not a curated record